UCAUAAGGUUAAGUAUGCGUGGGUUCAACA
Molecule: non-coding RNA, 30 nt
Filed under: Homo sapiens (human)
Lineage: Eukaryota; Metazoa; Chordata; Mammalia; Primates; Hominidae
Source: RNAcentral